RNAcentral lists this ribosomal RNA (466 nucleotides) under uncultured bacterium. RNAcentral's name for it is "partial 16S ribosomal RNA". It matches the Rfam family "Bacterial small subunit ribosomal RNA", at positions 28 to 507 of the family's 1533-position model. The record is from RNAcentral.
GACGAACGCUGGCGGCGUGCUUAACACAUGCAAGUCGAACGGAAAGGCCCUGCUUGCAGGGUACUCGAGUGGCGAACGGGUGAGUAACACGUGGGUGAUCUGCCCUGCACUUCGGGAUAAGCUUGGGAAACUGGGUCUAAUACCGGAUAGGAGCCAUCUUUAGUGUGGUGGUUGGAAAGUUUUUUCGGUGUAGGAUGAGCUCGCGGCCUAUCAGCUUGUUGGUGGGGUAAUGGCCUACCAAGGCGGCGACGGGUAGCCGGCCUGAGAGGGUGUACGGCCACAUUGGGACAGAGAUACGGCCCAGACUCCUACGGGAGGCAGCAGUGGGGAAUAUUGCACAAUGGGCGCGAGCCUGAGGCAGCGACGCCGCGUGGGGGAUGAAGGCCUUCGGGUUGUAAACUCCUUUCGCUAGGGACGAAGCUUUGUUGUGACGGUACCUAGAGAAGAAGCACCGGCUAACUACGUG